GACGAACGCUGGCGGCGUGCCUAAUACAUGCAAGUCGAGCGGACGAAUCGAAAGCUUGCUUUUGAUUCGUUAGCGGCGGACGGGUGAGUAACACGUGGGCAACCUGCCCUGUAUACGGGGAUAACACCGAGAAAUCGGUGAUAAUACCGGAUAACACGAAAUGUCGCAUGACGUUUCGUUGAAAGACGGCGCAAGCUGUCGCUACAGGAGGGGCCCGCGGCGCAUUAGCUAGUUGGUGAGGUAACGGCUCACCAAGGCGACGAUCCGUAGCCGACCUGAGAGGGUGAUCGGCCACACUGGGACUGAGACACGGCCCAGACUCCUACGGGAGGCAGCAGUAAGGAAUCUUCCGCAAUGGACGAAAGUCUGACGGAGCAACGCCGCGUGAGCGAAGAAGGCCUUCGGGUCGUAAAGCUCUGUUGUUAGGGAAGAACAAGUAACGCAGUAACUGGCGUUACCGUGACGGUACCUAACGAGAAAGCCACGGCUAACUACGUG
This 498-nucleotide ribosomal RNA is filed under the name uncultured bacterium. RNAcentral describes it as "partial 16S ribosomal RNA". It matches the Rfam family "Bacterial small subunit ribosomal RNA", at positions 28 to 507 of the family's 1533-position model. The record is from RNAcentral.